CCCUUAGAUGUUCUGGGCCGCACGCGCGCUACACUGACGAUGGCAACGAGUUUUUCCUUCGCCGAAAGGUGUGGGUAAUCUUUUGAAACAUCGUCGUGCUGGGGAUAGAUCAUUGCAAUUUUUGAUCUUGAACGAGGAAUUCCUAGUAAGCGCGAGUCAUCAGCUCGCGUUGAUUACGUCCCUGCCCUUUGUACACACCGCCCGUCGCUACUACCGAUUGAAUGGUUUAGUGGGGACUCCUGAUUGGCGCCGCCGCCCCGGCAACGGAGCAGCGGACUGCCGAAAAGUUGUUCAAACUUGAUCAUUUAGAGGAAGUAAAAGUCGUAACA
RNAcentral lists this ribosomal RNA (329 nucleotides) under uncultured eukaryote. Its description in RNAcentral is "partial 18S ribosomal RNA". It matches the Rfam family "Eukaryotic small subunit ribosomal RNA", at positions 1470 to 1796 of the family's 1831-position model. The record is from RNAcentral.